CCCCCCGGCCCGGGAUAGCCCAGGGAAACCUGGAUUAAUACCGGAUGAGACGGGACCCGCGAAGGCGGGACCCGGGAAAGGCGCUGCGGCGCCGCCGGGGGAUGAGUCUGCGUCCCAUUAGCUAGACGCGGGGUAACGGCCCACCGUGGCGACGAUGGGUAGCCGGCCUGAGAGGGUGGACGGCCACAUUGGAACUGAGACACGGUCCAGGACUCCUACGGGAGGCAGCAGCUAAGAAUCUUCCGCAAUGGGCGAAAGCCUGACGGAGCGAACCGCCGCGUGAACGAAGAAGGCCGUGAGGUUGUAAAGUUCUUUUCGGGAGGGGGAACAACCGUGGCAGGGAAUGGCCGCGGGAUGACGUGAAUCCCGGAAUAAGCCCCGGCUAACUACGUGCCAGCCGCCGC
RNAcentral lists this ribosomal RNA (404 nucleotides) under uncultured bacterium. RNAcentral describes it as "bacterial SSU rRNA". It matches the Rfam family "Bacterial small subunit ribosomal RNA", at positions 129 to 518 of the family's 1533-position model. The record is from RNAcentral.